Molecule: non-coding RNA, 629 nt
Organism: Corylus avellana
Lineage: Eukaryota; Viridiplantae; Streptophyta; Magnoliopsida; Fagales; Betulaceae
Source: RefSeq, a predicted model, not a curated record
CUUUAGCAAAUUGUACAGAAAUCGAUUCUGCUAUGAUUUUUCUUGCAUACACAGAAAAGAAGAAAACACAUUGAUACUUCUGCAUCCUUUUUGGCUAAAGCUUCCUCUAUUUCCGUCCGAUGCCGUUUCGAAACUUGAUGAUUGCAUUGUUAGUUCUUGGCACUGUCAUCACUUGCGAUUGUUUUUGCAGGUUGUUAACUUUGGAAGUGACAAUGUUAACCUCAACAUCCGCGUGGAUGGUUUGGGGACAAACUCCAUACAGUUAUCCGGAUCAACAAAGACUGUACUUACAUCUGGUAAUAUGGCGGAUGAGAAUUCCUUCAAGGCUCCAAACAAGGUUGUGCCAACUCAGAGCCUGCUUGAAAAUGCUGGAGAGGACAUGGUGGUGGUACUCCUUCCGCGUUCUUUCACGUCAUUCGAUCUGUUAACAGAAGAUUCCAGCAAUCUCAGGACUAGGGGAACUGAUUAUUCCUCAAGAUCUUCUUUUUAAAAUGUAUUUAUAGAGGAAUAAUAAAAUAAACGCAAUAAUUCUCGAUAGAGGGAUGUUAUCGUGUAAAUAAUAUCAAACUUGCUUCUUUUUCUGUUCCAUGGUUGAAUAUUUAUGUUGACUGCUCUUCAUUCUGACCUUA